RNAcentral lists this ribosomal RNA (422 nucleotides) under uncultured bacterium. RNAcentral describes it as "bacterial SSU rRNA". It matches the Rfam family "Bacterial small subunit ribosomal RNA", at positions 355 to 774 of the family's 1533-position model. The record is from RNAcentral.
UGAGGAAUAUUGGUCAAUGGGUGCAAGCCUGAACCAGCCAUCCCGCGUGAAGGACGACUGCCCUAUGGGUUGUAAACUUCUUUUGUAUAGGGAUAAACCUACCCUCGUGAGGGUAGCUGAAGGUACUAUACGAAUAAGCACCGGCUAACUCCGUGCCAGCAGCCGCGGUAAUACGGAGGGUGCAAGCGUUAUCCGGAUUUAUUGGGUUUAAAGGGUCCGUAGGCGGACUUAUAAGUCAGUGGUGAAAGCCUGUCGCUUAACGAUAGAACUGCCAUUGAUACUGUAAGUCUUGAGUAUAUUUGAGGUAGCUGGAAUAAGUAGUGUAGCGGUGAAAUGCAUAGAUAUUACUUAGAACACCAAUUGCGAAGGCAGGUUACCAAGAUAUAACUGACGCUGAGGGACGGAAGCGUGGGGAGCGAACA